GAGAGGAAUUACGGUAGAAGGAAGGACGCUCUGCUUUCCCCUCUGCUUGCCUGGAGGGGAGGGGUUUUCUCUGCUCUUUGUUCCGUUUGAGCAAACACAGUAACGAAACAGAAGAGGGUGGGCAGUAAGACCCUGAGGCAGAAUGCAGGAAAGCAACAGCUUUCUCUCUCGGGAGGCUCGAACGCACGUGUGGCUGCCUGCAAUCAGUUUACCACACCGAGAAUGAAGAUAAACUGGUAAAAUAAGGGGGCUGGGUUAAAGCUAAAGGGAAAACCUCAAAGAUCCCUCAAGAACAAGGCAGGGGUUCAGGGCUCCCAAAGCCGAGCUGCAGCCUUAGAAGGGGAAAAUGGGGCUUUUGGAGGUGGUUUUUACUGCCCCGCUGCUUCCAAUUUUUUAAAAGGCAAAUUGCAG
Podarcis lilfordi (Lilford's wall lizard) is the source of this 411-nucleotide non-coding RNA. The record is from the annotation of a GenBank genome assembly. NCBI's taxonomy places the organism in Eukaryota, Metazoa, Chordata, Lepidosauria, Squamata, Lacertidae.